CUGAGCGCAGAACAUCCUUUCAUAACGUUUAAACAUGCAUCGCAUCUAAGUCUGGCGUCUUAAAGAAAGACCACGAUCAGCUACGUGCGACGUACGGAGUGUGGCUUUCGUAAAGGAUCUUACGGCAGUGGGAGUCUAGAACUGAAGGUCUCGUAUGAUGACGUAUAUCUCCACUCUGUGGACGUGAAUCAGUUUCUUGACUCACCGGAAUACGACACACGUAGCGAAACUUUCACUGGAGGAAAGUACAAGGUAAAUAUACGCGCGUCCGAGGACUGCCUUCUAUUCGUCUUACCUCAAGGUCGCCUUCUAAAAUACCUGUCACGUGACCGCACGCUGGAGCACAUCUUCAACCAACUGAUCGGGAAGGACAUCAGUCAGAAGCUUUACGAGAUACAAGAGCGCGUGUCCGCGUUUCCGGGCAUGGCCGAAGGGACCGGAAACCGCCGAACGUCAAUGGUGCACGUCCGCAAUAGUAUCGUCUCAAACUCGACUACGAAUUUAGCGAAUCUGAAUUGUCUUCAAGGUUGCUACAAGCAGCCGAGUAAUUUGUCGUCCUCCACAACCAACGAAUCUACCGUGUGAAAUGUAGGACGUGAACAAUAUGUUAACUGUUUUAACAGUGUGAAAUGUGGGACGUGAGCAAUAUGUUAGUUAUUUGAUCAGUGUUAAAUGCGUGUUUCAACUACCGGAAAAAACUGAUUACGCACUUUUCUUGACGCAACCCAAUAUCUUACAGGAAAAUUCGCACUUAGAUGUUAAGUCAACUUUGGUGUUAACCGCCGGAGUGCAUUCUGUUCAACACCAAAUUGCGUUACGUUGGUAAUGUGACAUAACAAUCAGCCACGAAUAAGAAUACAAUAUUGAGGAAGUAUCUUAAUACUCUGCACUUCCUCUUAGAGCAGUAUAGCAUGAUAUGUAUUGUGAAGUAUCAUUUGAAUCCGAUUUAGGCAUUUCUUGAAGUUCGUCACUUAAUUUAAAUUUAUAAAUGUAACCACCGGUACUAAAGAGCUCUAGUGUAAUACAGCAAUAUAAUUUAAAAAGAAAAAUGAAAUACGAAAAAACAAACCACCAACAUUCACAUCGUUUAUCCCAAACCUUGGCUCAAACCACUGACUAUUGUAUUAAAUAUCUAACGCCUGAACCACUAUGUUAAGCACUUUAUACUUUUCAUAACGAAUCCACGUACUUUCUCAAAAUCGAACGAAAACAAAAGAAGCAUUUCGAAAUAUCCAUUCGUUUUGCGUUUGUAACGCUUUGAAACUUUAUCAAUGUCUUCUUAUGAUACACUAUAAACAUUGAAUUCAGUACGAGUCUACUCAUUAGUGUUAUUUUGAUUCCUGAUGUGCAGUGUUGUUUUUUUCAAUAUGUGACACAAUUUUCAAAAAUGGUCUUUUCGACAAUCUGCGAACAAGUCCCUUUAACAGUAAUCGAGCUACGCUCACAUGACAAAGAGCGCGACAAAUGGACGGAAAUAUAAUACCACCACUAUAUGCACCUUAACUACUUUGGAGGAAUAUAAAAUUAUAUGUUUACAUAUAUUUGUAAAGACAGUAUGCAUGUGGUCCAUUGAAUACUAAAUUAUGUUUUAAAUGAGUUCCCCGCAAUACAGAAUUAAUUUUAGAUCCUCGCUCUGGGAAAACGGGGCUUAAGACAUGUGCGUAAAGUAUCGUCCCAGAUUAGCCUUUGCAGUCCGCACGAUCUAAUCAAGGACGAAACUUUCUGCUGUAUGGUAUUUUUCGUUUCAAUGAAGUCUCUCCUCAAAGAAAAUGCAGUUAAAGCGGAAAGAGUCACACUACUGACAAUUUACGCACAUGCAUUAAACCCGUUUUAUCAGAGCGAGGCACAUAUAAUAUGUUUGCAUGUUUACUAUAGCUUGUAUUAUUGCAUUGAAAAUGUCGUGAUUCAUCACUGUAUUGAAUAGCUCGUAAUUUAAUGUAUUUAUGGACUCGUUGUGUGUUCAU
This is a long non-coding RNA of Dreissena polymorpha, 1964 nucleotides long. RefSeq lists it as uncharacterized. The record is from RefSeq and is a predicted model, not a curated record. Lineage: Eukaryota; Metazoa; Mollusca; Bivalvia; Myida; Dreissenidae. The transcript has 4 exons.